CGUGUUGAACAACGUGGAUUGGUUUGACAAGCUUGUUUUAUUCCUUCAUCACUCAUCAGCAUGCUUGGUUGAAUGAUGUGGAUCGGUUUGGCAAACUUUCCGAUUUCCGUUCACUAGUAGACCAUUUAAUAUUUUAUUAGAUUUAAUUUUGUGUGUCGUUCAUUAAUCCAAUGCUAAGAGGUGCCAUGUAGAGCAGCCCUGUGAUGAUCAUUAGUGGUUUUAUCAAGCUUGGUCUAGAUGUAUUGUGUGGUCAGAUCUGGACAUCUUCCAUUUGUGAAAAUUUUGGUUUGGUUGUGGUUUAAUUAUUAUUAUUAUUAUUAUUUUGGGUGCUUUUUCCCUUUCUCCUUCACUAGUGGAUAUAUCAUUGUUUGUUUACUCUUAAUUAUUCGGGGUUUCUUUGCGAUUGAUGUCCUUUUUAGGUUUAACCCAAGAUUGUGUGGCUGAUUAACCUAAUUCCUAGAGGCAGCAUAUAGAGCCAGUCCCCAUUCAGUCAUUUGAUGAUCAUUAGUGGCGUGCCUUGUUUAUCCAAAGUUCAGUUUGAUGCAUCAAUGCCCGGUUAUCUCAUUCAUCAAAUAAUCAGUUAAAUAUUUGUACCUUUGGCCAUAUUAAUGCUCGGACUCGUUUCUGGCUUGAUGUUCUUUUGUGGUGUAGUUCAACUUGGGGGGUGCACAAUGGACUGCAGCAGGGGGUCAUUGACCUAUUUGGUUUGGAAGUGUUUUGUCAAACUUAUCUGGAUUUUCAAUGCUUCUCAUAGUUCUUCCCAACUUUGAUGAAUUUUGUAAUAUUGUGUCUCACAGGUUAGCAAGAGGUCUAACGAACGUAAUUGAUCGGUUUGAUUGAUACGAUAAGUUAUCAUAUGCCUGAUUUUCUUUAGAGUUCGUGUUUAUAUUGAUCUGUUGCUUAAGAUUUCUGUUUCCGAUUAUUUAUCGUUGGUUUGUCUGUCAUGACUUGAUGUAGUUCGGAUCGUGGAUUCGAUUUC
Ipomoea nil (Japanese morning glory) is the source of this 979-nucleotide long non-coding RNA. RefSeq lists it as uncharacterized. The record is from RefSeq and is a predicted model, not a curated record. The transcript has 2 exons. Lineage: Eukaryota; Viridiplantae; Streptophyta; Magnoliopsida; Solanales; Convolvulaceae.